Molecule: ribosomal RNA, 252 nt
Filed under: uncultured bacterium
Lineage: Bacteria
Description: partial 16S ribosomal RNA
Rfam family: Bacterial small subunit ribosomal RNA
Source: RNAcentral
UACAGAGGUCCCAAGCGUUGUUCGGAUUUACUGGGCGUAAAGGGUGCGUAGGUGGCUGGGUAAGUCUGGUGUGAAAGCUCCGAGCUCAACUCGGAAAAGCAUUGGAAACUAUCCCGCUGGAGGGUCGGAGGGGAGACUGGAAUUCUCGGUGUAGCAGUGAAAUGCGUAGAUAUCGAGAGGAACACCAGUGGCGAAGGCGAGUCUCUGGACGACUCCUGACACUGAGGCACGAAAGCUAGGGGAGCAAACAGG